Long non-coding RNA from Papaver somniferum (opium poppy), 384 nucleotides. RefSeq lists it as uncharacterized. The transcript is spliced from 3 exons. The record is from RefSeq and is a predicted model, not a curated record. Lineage: Eukaryota; Viridiplantae; Streptophyta; Magnoliopsida; Ranunculales; Papaveraceae.
UGUAUCCAGCAUCCAAAGCCCACCAUAGUCCUACACCUGAUGCAGUAUUUCAGGAGCUUCAAUUCUUAAAAGCAUCAAUCAAAGCCAUGUCGAUCCAGGUACCAGGGGUUGAAGCUGAUGAUGUAAUAGGAACUUUGCCGCUGGAUUCAAGAAAGGUACUAGCUCUGGUCAAUUAAGGAGGAUUUCUAGUGUUGCUUAGGAGAAUUAUGUAGCGCAGUUCUAGGGAGUCUGGCAGUGGUGGAGAAUGCAAAAAGGUUUGGAGGAAGUUUGCUGGAGACUUCUACUAAGGCAAGGUAAAUUUUUGUACUGGCUCUACAAGGUGUAUUUUAUGUGUACUACAUAUUUUUGUACUGGCUCUACAAGGUAUAUUUUCUUGUACACCAG